GACAACUUGACAUUGAAAAUCACCCAUAAAUUACUAAAAAUAUGGAACUCCAAAAUUACCGAUAAAAUGAAAGAAACUAGGUACAUGGCAAGGGAUUUUUGGUCCUCCCAAUUGAAAUGUCUUCUCGAGAGGAAACUCCCCAAUGGCUCCCGUUAGUCGGCAUAGGCAUCGCCGUGGUAGCGGCCGGAAUACUCUACAAACUGUUCUCUGGUGGAGGUAGCAAAUCUAAAGGGAAGAAUCCGUUCUGCCUGCAACCCGGAACCUUGCGUAUUUCCAAAAAGGAAAUGGAAAGACUAGGUUUUACUAGCGGCGAC
Cydia splendana is the source of this 314-nucleotide long non-coding RNA. RefSeq lists it as uncharacterized. Lineage: Eukaryota; Metazoa; Arthropoda; Insecta; Lepidoptera; Tortricidae. The record is from RefSeq and is a predicted model, not a curated record. The transcript is spliced from 2 exons.